Molecule: ribosomal RNA, 468 nt
Filed under: uncultured bacterium
Lineage: Bacteria
Description: partial 16S ribosomal RNA
Rfam family: Bacterial small subunit ribosomal RNA
Source: RNAcentral
GACGAACGCUGGCGGCGUGCUUAACACAUGCAAGUCGAACGGAAAGGCCCUGCUUUUGUGGGGUGCUCGAGUGGCGAACGGGUGAGUAACACGUGAGUAACCUGCCCUUGACUUUGGGAUAACUUCAGGAAACUGGGGCUAAUACCGGAUAGGAGCUCCUGCUGCAUGGUGGGGGUUGGACUGUUUCGGCGGUUGGGGAUGGACUCGCGGCUUAUCAGCUUGUUGGUGGGGUAGUGGCUUACCAAGGCUUUGACGGGUAGCCGGCCUGAGAGGGUGACCGGCCACAUUGGGACUGAGAUACGGCCCAGACUCCUACGGGAGGCAGCAGUGGGGAAUAUAGCACAAUGGGCGGAAGCCUGAUGCAGCAACGCCGCGUGCGGGAUGACGGCCUUCGGGUUGUAAACCGCUUUCGCCUGUGACGAAGCGUGAGUGACGGUAAUGGGUAAAGAAGCACCGGCUAACUACGUG